GCCCUGGUGGUGGAAUGGUAGACACGCAGGUUUUAGGUACCUGUGCUUUACGGCGUGAGAGUUCGAGUCUCUCCCAGGGCACCA
RNAcentral lists this transfer RNA (84 nucleotides) under Planktomarina sp. Its description in RNAcentral is "tRNA-Leu". It matches the Rfam family "tRNA". From Rfam's summary of the family: Transfer RNA (tRNA) molecules are approximately 80 nucleotides in length. Their secondary structure includes four short double-helical elements and three loops (D, anti-codon, and T loops). Lineage: Bacteria; Pseudomonadati; Pseudomonadota; Alphaproteobacteria; Rhodobacterales; Paracoccaceae. The record is from RNAcentral.